ACGGAGGAUGCGAGCGUUAUCCGGAUUCAUUGGGUUUAAAGGGUGCGCAGGCGGACUAAUAAGUCAGUGGUGAAAUCCCAUAGCUCAACUAUGGAACUGCCAUUGAUACUGUUAGACUAGAGUAUAUUUGACGUAGGCGGAAUGCGACAUGUAGCGGUGAAAUGCUUAGAUAUGUCGCAGAACACCGAUUGCGAAGGCAGCUUACGAAACUAUAACUGACGCUCAUGCACGAAAGCGUGGGGAUCAAACAG
This 251-nucleotide ribosomal RNA is filed under the name uncultured prokaryote. Its description in RNAcentral is "partial 16S rRNA". It matches the Rfam family "Bacterial small subunit ribosomal RNA", at positions 525 to 775 of the family's 1533-position model. The record is from RNAcentral.